AUCGUAACAAGGUUUCCGUAGGUGAACCUGCGGAAGGAUCAUUA
This 44-nucleotide ribosomal RNA is filed under the name Phytophthora litchii. Its description in RNAcentral is "partial 18S ribosomal RNA". It matches the Rfam family "Eukaryotic small subunit ribosomal RNA", at positions 1788 to 1831 of the family's 1831-position model. RNAcentral also lists the same sequence under 5 other names. Lineage: Eukaryota; Oomycota; Peronosporomycetes; Peronosporales; Peronosporaceae. The record is from RNAcentral.